RNAcentral lists this ribosomal RNA (200 nucleotides) under uncultured Entrophospora. RNAcentral's name for it is "uncultured Claroideoglomus partial small subunit ribosomal RNA". It matches the Rfam family "Eukaryotic small subunit ribosomal RNA", at positions 591 to 789 of the family's 1831-position model. Lineage: Eukaryota; Fungi; Glomeromycota; Glomeromycetes; Entrophosporales; Entrophosporaceae. The record is from RNAcentral.
CCAAUAGCGUAUAUUAAAGUUGUUGCAGUUAAAAAGCUCGUAGUUGAAUUUCGGGAUUGACACAUCGGUCGUGCCUUAAGGGGCAUGAACUGGUGUAGUCAAUUUCUCACCUUCUGGAGAACCGCGAUGCCCUUAAUUGGGUGUCACGGGGAACCAGGACCUUUACUUUGAAAAAAUUAGAGUGUUUAAAGCAGGCAUUU